RNAcentral lists this ribosomal RNA (453 nucleotides) under Aerococcus viridans. Its description in RNAcentral is "bacterial SSU rRNA". It matches the Rfam family "Bacterial small subunit ribosomal RNA", at positions 73 to 511 of the family's 1533-position model. Lineage: Bacteria; Bacillati; Bacillota; Bacilli; Lactobacillales; Aerococcaceae. The record is from RNAcentral.
GAAGUGCUUGCACUUCUGACGUUAGCGGCGAACGGGUGAGUAACACGUAAGGAAUCUACCUAUAAGCGGGGGAUAACAUUCGGAAACGGGUGCUAAUACCGCAUAAUAUCUUCUUCCGCAUGGAAGAAGAUUGAAAGACGGCUCUGCUGUCACUUAUAGAUGACCUUGCGGUGCAUUAGUUAGUUGGUGGGGUAAUGGCCUACCAAGACGAUGAUGCAUAGCCGACCUGAGAGGGUGAUCGGCCACAUUGGGACUGAGACACGGCCCAAACUCCUACGGGAGGCAGCAGUAGGGAAUCUUCCGCAAUGGGCGAAAGCCUGACGGAGCAAUGCCGCGUGAGUGAAGAAGGCCUUCGGGUCGUAAAACUCUGUUAUAAGAGAAGAACAAAUUGUAGAGUAACUGCUACAGUCUUGACGGUAUCUUAUCAGAAAGCCACGGCUAACUACGUGCCAG